UACGUAGGUGGCAAGCGUUGUCCGGAUUUACUGGGUGUAAAGGGUGCGUAGGCGGGUUAUCAAGUCAGCGGUAAAAUCGUGGAGCUCAACUCCAUCCAGCCGUUGAAACUGAUGAUCUUGAGUGGGCGAGAAGUAUGCGGAAUGCGUGGUGUAGCGGUGAAAUGCAUAGAUAUCACGCAGAACCCCGAUUGCGAAGGCAGCAUACCGGCGCCCUACUGACGCUGAGGCACGAAAGUGCGGGUAUCGAACAGG
This 252-nucleotide ribosomal RNA is filed under the name uncultured Bacteroidales bacterium. RNAcentral's name for it is "partial 16S ribosomal RNA". It matches the Rfam family "Bacterial small subunit ribosomal RNA", at positions 524 to 776 of the family's 1533-position model. Lineage: Bacteria; Pseudomonadati; Bacteroidota; Bacteroidia; Bacteroidales. The record is from RNAcentral.